CCCAUGUCAAACCACCGCACAAGCCCCCGUAUGUUCCUAAACCACCUUAUUCCCCAAGCCCUAAACCGCCUUACGUGCCAAAACCACCUCAUACUCCAGUCCCUAGGCCACCAUAUUUCCCCAAACCACCUUACACACCAAGGCCUAAGCCACCAUAUGCGCCAAAACCACCUUAUACGCCAACCCCUAAGCCACCAUAUUUCCCCAAACCACCUUACACACCAAGGCCGAAGCCACCAUAUGUGCCAAAACCACCUUAUACGCCAGCCCCUAAGCCACCAUAUUUUCCCAAACCACCUUACACACCAAGGCCUAAGCCACCAUAUGCACCAAAACCACCUUAUACGCCAACACCUAAGCCACCAUAUUUCCCCAAACCACCUUACACACCAAGGCCUAAGCCACCGUACGUGCCAAAACCACCGUACACACCAAGGCCUAAGCCACCGUACGUGCCAAAACCACCAUACACACCAACCCCUAAGCCACCGUACGUGCCAAAACCACCUUACACCCCAACCCCUAAGCCACCGUACGUGCCAAAACCACCGUAUACCCCAACUCCUAAGCCACCGUACGUCCCAUCGCCACCUUAUACCCCUCG
This 604-nucleotide long non-coding RNA is filed under the name Citrus maxima (pomelo). Its description in RNAcentral is "long non-coding RNA (CMAX_LNC002831)". Lineage: Eukaryota; Viridiplantae; Streptophyta; Magnoliopsida; Sapindales; Rutaceae. The record is from RNAcentral.